CUACGGGGGGCUCCAGUGGGGAAUAUUGCACAAUGGGCGCAAGCCUGAUGCAGCCAUGCCGCGUGUAUGAAGAAGGCCUUCGGGUUGUAAAGUACUUUCAGCGGGGAGGAAGGGAGUAAAGUUAAUACCUUUGCUCAUUGACGUUACCCGCAGAAGAAGCAUCGGCUAACUCCGUGCCAGCAGCCGCGGUAAUACGGAGGGUGCAAGCGGUAAUCGGAAUUACUGGGCGUAAAGCGCACGCAGGCGGUUUGUUAAGUCAGAUGUGAAAUCCCCGGGCUCAACCUGGGAACUGCAUCUGAUACUGGCAAGCUUGAGUCUCGUAGAGGGGGGUAGAAUUCCAGGUGUAGCGGUGAAAUGCGUAGAGAUCUGGAGGAAUACCGGUGGCGAAGGCGGCCCCCUGGACGAAGACUGACGCUCAGGUGCGAAAGCGUGGGGAGCAAACAGGAUUAGAUACCCGAGUAGUC
This 464-nucleotide ribosomal RNA is filed under the name uncultured bacterium. Its description in RNAcentral is "partial 16S ribosomal RNA". It matches the Rfam family "Bacterial small subunit ribosomal RNA", at positions 339 to 795 of the family's 1533-position model. The record is from RNAcentral.